This 967-nucleotide long non-coding RNA is filed under the name Equus asinus (donkey). RNAcentral's name for it is "lncRNA (ENSEASG00005036256.1)". The record is from RNAcentral. Lineage: Eukaryota; Metazoa; Chordata; Mammalia; Perissodactyla; Equidae.
CUGACACCCCCAGCUUCUCAUCACCUCCAGGUCUGCGAUAAGUGUUGCAUAAAUUUUGGAAAAUCAUUGAGCCACAAAAUUGUAAAUUCAAGGAAGCUUCUAGUUUUAGUCAUCUGAAAGGCAGGGCUCCAGUUUCCCUGAGUUCCAGCAACGCUUCACUCUGGUGUUGACUUCAUUCUUGUGUGAGCUUUCUUCAGGAGGCAAGAAUAAUGCCAAGCCUGCAUCUUCACAGCCUGCUGUCCCAAGGAAUUAAAACAAUAACAGGAGAAUGGAAUAUCAGGACAGGGAAACAAGGAAAAACAUUAUCAUAGUGGUCCAGGCAAGUAUCAUUUAAGCUUAGUAAAUGAUGGUAAAGUGCGUUAUGCACAAAGGUCCUAGACCAUUCUUGAAGCCAUCCUUCAUCACCCCGGCCUAAAAUGCCCAUUCUUUUCUACCAGCCAUUAGAUGGUUUCUGAGUAUUUACUCUAACUGGGUGACAAGCUUGGCUCUGGGAAUACACCACUAAAAGACAUUUCUUAUGUCUUCAAAGAAUCUGGUGGGGGCUGUGGGUAAGUCAGCAGGGACAAUAUAAAGGGCUGGUUGUCAUCAUGGAGGAGUGCUGGAUGCAGUGGAGGUCCGUGGGAGGAGCACGACUCCAGCUUUGCAGAACAAAGGGGAGCUGAUGAAGAAUUCUAGAACUGGAAGACACAGUCAGACCCAAAUGCCUGUUUUUGAAGGACAGUGGAAAACGGAGAAGAGGGAAGCACCAGCAAGACAGAAAGGAACACAACCAACCUCCCCCGAACGGGAGGCGCAGAGGAAGCAGGCGGCUGUGCUCCUUGAAAGCAGCCAUCCGUCCAACUCCAUUUCAAUAAUGUUUGCAAUUUUCCUCCUACUGGGUUGACUGGAGGCACAGCUGCCCCAUAUGCGGGUCCAUGCGCCCAGCUUUUGCUAAAAAUGACCCUAACAAAUAAAAGGUGAAGCGAGU